This 222-nucleotide ribosomal RNA is filed under the name uncultured bacterium. RNAcentral describes it as "partial 16S ribosomal RNA". It matches the Rfam family "Bacterial small subunit ribosomal RNA", at positions 113 to 334 of the family's 1533-position model. The record is from RNAcentral.
CAACGUGGGCAACCUGCCCUAGAGUGGGGGACAACAUUCCGAAAGGGGUGCUAAUACCGCAUGUGUAUCGGAAUGGCAUCAUUCAGGAUACAAAGGAUUUAUUCGCUCUAGGAUGGGCCCGCGGCCUAUCAGCUUGUUGGUGAGGUAACGGCUCACCAAGGCUACGACGGGUAGCUGGUCUGAGAGGACGAUCAGCCGGAUUGGGACUGAGAUACGGCCCAG